Schizosaccharomyces pombe (fission yeast) is the source of this 734-nucleotide non-coding RNA. The record is from the annotation of a GenBank genome assembly. Lineage: Eukaryota; Fungi; Ascomycota; Schizosaccharomycetes; Schizosaccharomycetales; Schizosaccharomycetaceae.
UAAGCGAGGUAAAAUAUUAUCGAUGAACGUAAGCGGGAUGAAAUCUAAAAAAGACGUUUCGUUCGUUAUUUAAAAGAAAUAAAAGUAUGUCCGGUUGGGGAAAAUUUAAAAUAUAAUUCCGAAGAGGAGACGAAGCUGGGGCACAACUAUCCAAAUCCAACUACCGAAAGCAAUGGAUCCAAGGUUAUCAAAAAGAAAAAGCACCCCAAAUUAGGCGGAGUCAGGUCGAGCGAACCGAAACGCAAACUUGACAACGAAGAGGGGGGAUCACUACACACCGUCGAGUUUACUAAGAAUAGCUAACGCAGCCGGCACUAUUUGACAGUAUGGAACGGUAGGAAGAGAAAGAAUAGGUAGGGUUGUACUGACUGACUGAUUCACUGGCAAAAGACUAAGUAAAGAAGAGACAGACAGAUAAGAAAGGGAGGUAGGUGAUGGAUGGUUAAUUAAGAGGCCAAAAAGAAAAAUAAAAACCUCAACAAAGAAACUUUAUAAGGGGGGGAUAGAAAUUGAAAUAGAAAAUUAAGUUGGCAACUAAAAAUAAAAAGAGCCAAACAAACGACAAACGUACACUACAAAGAAAAUGUCUUUCGACAAAUGGGAUAGCAGUUUGUUGGUGGUUAAUGACUUUGCUAUGGAAAAAAAUAAAAACACAAAGCAACGAACUCAAGAUGCAACAAGCAAAUUGUCGAUGUGUAUGUGUGUGUGUUUUUUUCUUUCGUUUAGAAGAUGAA